Molecule: small nuclear RNA, 163 nt
Filed under: Dasypus novemcinctus (nine-banded armadillo)
Lineage: Eukaryota; Metazoa; Chordata; Mammalia; Cingulata; Dasypodidae
Description: U1 spliceosomal RNA (ENSDNOG00000026830.1)
Rfam family: U1 spliceosomal RNA
About the family: U1 is a small nuclear RNA (snRNA) component of the spliceosome (involved in pre-mRNA splicing).
Source: RNAcentral
AGAAAUACAUGGCAGCAGAGAUACCAUAUCACAAAGGCGGUUUUCCCAGUACGAGGCUUAUGCAUUACACUCUGGAUGUGCUGACCCCUGCAAUUUCCCUAAAUGUGGGAAACACUACUGCAUAACUUGUGAUAGUGGGAGACUGAGUUCACACUCUCACCCA